UACGUAGGGGGCUAGCGUUGUCCGGAAUCACUGGGCGUAAAGCGCGCGCAGGCGGCGAUCUACGUCUGGGGUGAAAGCCCGGAGCUCAACUCCGGGACUGCCUUGGAUACGGGAUCGCUUGAGGAUUGGAGAGGCAAGGGGAAUUCCACGUGUAGCGGUGAAAUGCGUAGAUAUGUGGAGGAACACCUGUGGCGAAGGCGCCUUGCUGGCCAAUUUCUGACGCUGAGGCGCGAAAGCGUGGGGAGCAAACAGG
This 253-nucleotide ribosomal RNA is filed under the name uncultured bacterium. RNAcentral describes it as "partial 16S ribosomal RNA". It matches the Rfam family "Bacterial small subunit ribosomal RNA", at positions 524 to 776 of the family's 1533-position model. The record is from RNAcentral.